This 333-nucleotide ribosomal RNA is filed under the name uncultured eukaryote. RNAcentral's name for it is "partial 18S ribosomal RNA". It matches the Rfam family "Eukaryotic small subunit ribosomal RNA", at positions 1470 to 1796 of the family's 1831-position model. The record is from RNAcentral.
CCCUUAGAUGUUCUGGGCUGCACGCGCGCUACACUGAUACUUUCAGCGAGUCCACCACCUUGCCUGGGAGGGUGGGGUAACCUCUGGAAAGUGCAUCGUGAUGGGGAUCGAUUAUUGUAAUUAUUAAUCUUCAACGAGGAAUUCCCAGUAAGCGCAAGUCAUCAGCUUGCGUUGAUUACGUCCCUGCCCUUUGUACACACCGCCCGUCGCUACUACCGAUUGAAUGGUUUAGUGAGAUCCUUGGAUCGGCCCUGUCGCGGCUGGCAACGGCCGCGUCGGCGCGUCGAGAAGACGAUCAAACUUGAUCAUUUAGAGGAAGUAAAAGUCGUAACA